GUAUUGUGUGCAGAAAUAUGAGAUGUACUAUAUUUAAGUGGGAAACAUAUGGUGAUGAGGUUGUACAACCAAUAAAUCUGCUUGUAUUAUCUACCUGCUCAGGAAUCGUUUUAUAUUCUAGCUUUUAGAGAAUCUGAACCAGCAGUCAUAAAUGAAAACAAGCUCAUUUGAUACCUUUCCAUGGCUCAGGACUACUGGUACUUGGUACACAUCCUGCUGGAAAAUAUUAAUUACUAGAAUAAUUAGUGUUAAAAAUUGCAAAUACUGAUUGCUUUUUGUUUCUACAUUCAGGAAAAAAUAGAGAAAAAUUGAGGUGGUGAAUGACUUAUUCUAAUGCAGCGAAAAUUAGGUGCCAAGCAGUCAAAUAUGUCAAGAAAUCUUUACAAAAUAAUGGAAGUGCUCUUUGAAUCAGAACGAUGUGUAGCUCCUGCAGCAAUCCAUGUUCAUUUUUUUAAAAA
Molecule: long non-coding RNA, 458 nt
Organism: Lacerta agilis (Sand lizard)
Lineage: Eukaryota; Metazoa; Chordata; Lepidosauria; Squamata; Lacertidae
Exons: 3
Source: RefSeq, a predicted model, not a curated record